Long non-coding RNA from Leucoraja erinaceus (little skate), 1394 nucleotides. RefSeq lists it as uncharacterized. The record is from RefSeq and is a predicted model, not a curated record. Lineage: Eukaryota; Metazoa; Chordata; Chondrichthyes; Rajiformes; Rajidae. The transcript is spliced from 5 exons.
CCCGCCCCCCUCCAAACAAAAACCACUCGCCCGUCAAUACCUGCACCCGCCGGCUCCGUUUCCAAACCACCCCCGCGGCUCAAGCUCCGCUACCUCGGCAUACACCUCAACAGCCGGCCGCCCGCUAGCCGAUGACUGUUCUUCACAAGUGAACCCGAACAAUGAACAUUGUCAGACUGCUCAGCCAGAAGAGAAUAUGGAUCUGAAAAUAAGACACAAUGGAUCAGGCAGCAUCUGUGGAGAAGAUGGAACAUGGACAUUCGGGUCAGGAUCCUUCUGAUUUUGAAAUAUUUCUCUGAGAAUGAUAUUCCAAUCAUUUAAGAUCAUCCCCAUGGAGAUAUCCUGUAAACUACCACAUUUUUUGGAUGGAUGGCUAUAAUCUCAACAGGCACUCACUUGGCCAUUUUGAACGCAUUAAACUUGGAGCAAGCAGAAAGGACAGACAAUCUUUGUUGGAGUGAGUUGAACAUUUAUGCAGAAACAAUUCUAUUGGUUCUGUGCCCUGGCUUGUGAUUAAAAUUAUUCAUCAGCUACUUUACUGCGUUAAAAAAGAUUAACAUUUACGUAUAAGGACCAAAAGUAAUAGAUCCUACCAAAAUGAAAUAAAAAUUUUCGCCUGUUUUAAUGAAAUACAUUUUACUGUUGCAAUUAAUUAUUCCAAUGGCAAUCACGCUGUCAUGAAAUUGUUGCUCUCCAUCUCUCAUUUGCUCCUCAGAUAUGCCUCGCAAUAAUCUAUCAAAAUAGCUGUCGACUCGUACAGCUUUUAGAGUAAAUUUUAUGCACUUAAAAUUAAGUUUAUGUAUUCGAGUUUCAUUUGGAGCAAUAAAAUUUCAAUCAAACCUGCAGUGCUUUGUGGAGAAAAAACGCAGCGCAUCUGUGAAUCCAACCAGCUGAGGAAAUAUCUGUGUUCAAUAUAGCUUUGGAAAAAAAUUACCAUGUUGGACUAAUUACCACAAUAUUGCUAAGUUACACCAUUUGCAUGACUAUGAUAAUAGACCUUCUUUAUGAGUGGCUAUAUUCAAGAUAUAGGAUUCGUGAUUCAUAAAUCAGAUGCUGUGGUAUAAUUAGACUCCAGUGAUUAUGCUCAGCAUUGUACAUGACAUCUGCAGGAUCUAAGUCCUAUCACCUCCUCAGGAUGUCUAAACCCGCUAUUUAACCAUUAUUGUGCUUUUGUAAUGCAGGCAAUUCAGUUGAGGAGCAAAACUUCACAUUCCGACUGGGUAGUUUGCAACACAACGGAAUUUCCCAAUUAUAGGUAACUACAUGACCCUCCCCACUCCCUUCCUCCAUAUACCUCUCCCUUCUCCACCCAUAUACCACUCCCUUCCCCUAUGAGUUCUUCACAAAGAAUAGAACAAACCAAAAACAGAAACUCUUGACAGUGUGUCAUUUUA